GACGAACGCUGGCGGCGUGCUUAACACAUGCAAGUCGAACGAAGUAGCGAACGGGUGAGUAACGCGUAAUCAACCUGCACUUCAGAGGGGGACAACAGUUGGAAACGACUGCUAAUACCGCAUACUGAAGGAGGGGAUUGCGUCUGAUUAGCUAGUUGGAGGGGUAACGCCCCACCAAGGCGAUGAUCAGUAGCAGUUCUGUGAGGAGGAACGGCCACAUUGGGACUGAGACACGGCCCAGACUCCUACGGGAUGCAGCAGUGGGGCAUCUUCCGCAUUUGACGAAAGUCUUACGGAGCAACGCCGCGUGAGUGAGUACGGCCUUCGGGUUGUAAAGCUCUGUUAAUCGGGACGCGGUACCGGAAUAGAAAGCCACGGCUAACUACGUGCCAGCAGCCGCGGUAAUUC
RNAcentral lists this ribosomal RNA (408 nucleotides) under uncultured bacterium. Its description in RNAcentral is "partial 16S ribosomal RNA". It matches the Rfam family "Bacterial small subunit ribosomal RNA", at positions 28 to 526 of the family's 1533-position model. The record is from RNAcentral.